This 486-nucleotide ribosomal RNA is filed under the name uncultured bacterium. RNAcentral describes it as "partial 16S ribosomal RNA". It matches the Rfam family "Bacterial small subunit ribosomal RNA", at positions 30 to 507 of the family's 1533-position model. The record is from RNAcentral.
AUUGAACGCUGGCGGCAUGCCUUACACAUGCAAGUCGAACGGCAGCACGGGUGCUUGCACCUGGUGCCGGUUGGCGAACGGGUGAGUAAUACAUCUGAACCUGUCCUUAAGUUGGGGAUAGCGCGGCCAAAGCCGGAUUAAUACCGCAUACGCACUACGCCUAAGAGCGAGAGCCCUUCGUCUCUCGCCCUAGCGCGUUUGCCGAUGGCUGAUUAGCUAGUUGGCGGGGUAAAGGCCUACCAAGGCGACGAUCAGUAGCUGGUCUGAGAGGAUGACCAGCCACACUGGAACUGAGACACGGUCCAGACUCCUACGGGAGGCAGCAGUGGGGAAUUUUGGACAAUGGGCGAAAGCCUGAUCCAGCAAUGCCGCGUGUGUGAAGAAGGCCUUCGGGUUGUAAAGCACUUUUGUCGGGAAAGAAAUCCUGCGCCCUAAUACGGUCGGGGGAUGACGGUACCGAAAGAAUAAGCACCGGCUAACUACGUG